GAAAAGGUGGCAUGAUUGUGGGGAGGCGUGAAACGAGGGGAAGAAACAUGUGUAGGGGAAAGGAAAGGCAUGGGGAGUGUGACAGGAGUCCCAGUGGGCAGGUGGUGGGGGUUGGGAGAGCAAGAACUUUUCCCACAUCCCUGGUUCUGUUUGGGGGUUUUUCUGUCCCUGGCUGGAAGUAGCCUUGGCCAUGUCCAUGAGAACAGUCCUUGACUCAUGGCCUCUCUUCUCUGGGUUGUUCAGAACUGUAACGUGUGUGUGCAGGGAAAUGGGUACGGGUCACUAGAAUUAAUUUGCAUGUAAUCUGGUCAAUUUUCACAGACUGCACACACUGAAGAGAAAGCAGAAGCGUAGAGAAACCCCAAGAAUCCUGUGUGCUCUAUUCCAGCCUGUCCAAGAUUCUGAUACCUCAUAACCCUUCUGGAAGCAAUGGCCUUUGCGGGCCUCUGUCCCGCCAGCAGACCAAGCCUGCUUGAAGGCACAGUCCUCUUCUUUGGCCGCUCUGAAAGACUGCACCUCAGGACCGGGUCCCUGUGUCAGGAACAGAAAGGUUCUUUCUGUGGAGAGUUUGGCCGCGGUGGCCUUCCUGUCACUGGGCUGCACACAUGGAGGAGAAAGCAGAAGCUUAGAGAACCCCCAAGAAUCCUUCUCUGUGCUCUGUUCCAGCCUGCCCCCAGAUUCUGACACCUCAUAGUCUUGUGUCCUGAUUCACACCAGUCGGGAGUCUUGAGCUGUUGGGGGAGUCUGAGGAGGACACCUGGCUACCCUGUGACUGGAGCUGACUUUUAAGAGGGACCCUGAGACACCCAUGGUGGACUUUUGAGUGCUGCCUCACGUUGGAGCUGAGUGCUUCCUGCUGGGACCGCGUGAUCUUCCUGGGAUGCCAGGGUGGCACAGCAACCCAUGGUGCUCUGGAUGCUCUUGCUGAAUCUGUGUGUAGCUUAGAAGCGUCAUGGAGCUCUUCAUUGGAACAUGUGCUAAGCCCUGGCUCUAAGAACAAGGAGGUGAGCAGCCAAGAGCAAUACUUGCAGGAAGGGCCAGGCUGCCAGUGUCAGAGGAGUGGCAGUAGAUUCAACAGGACCCUCAGGUUUGUCCAUCCUCACCUGGUGAGUCUUCUUGAAAUGCUUGUGCAUAUAAUUCAUAUACUUCUAUAUUAUAAAUUUAAUAUCAUAUGUUCUAAAUAGAUUUUAAAUUUUAUAUUUAAAACAUAUAUGUGCUUGGAGGUAUCAUGUACAGUUCCAGGAGGUGUGAGCCUACCUGGCUAAAUUCUGAUGCCAGGAUAGGUGAACCAGCAGGUGAGUCAUCUUCUUUUGGGUAGGCAAUUUAGAUGCCCAGCAACUAUGUGAAUUUCCAGGUCUCUUGUUUUAUUUUCUGGAUUUAUAGUUCUACUUAGUGUAUAGGAGCUGAGAAAAUGGAUCUGGUCACCAAAACGGUAGUUCCUGCUUGCAAGAUUUGCUUCCUGUUUUUCCUAAUUUGCUUAGAUGGUUUAUCUCAGUUUUCAUUAAGGGUUCUCCAACACAGCAGUGAUAGCAUUGAGUGAUAACCCCAAAAAGAUGGUUGUAUAUUGUUGUCACUGCCCCACUGAAUUCUAAUUCUGCCUCUGUGAUAUCCAGUGUUCCCUAAUUUUAUGAAAAAGUUCCUGAGGAAUACAUUGUUCUGUUGUGUUAAUGAAUAUGGUUAUAUGGGGAGACAUAUCAUGUAAAAUUUACAUAUCCCAAUCAUAUUAUUGCAUUAACUAGGCAUAUGGGGACUCUGUUUAUCAUCAGAGGCACCUAGAUCCGAGGAUGGCACCGAAAUUUCUAGUAGUAAGCAUUACUUCCUAAGUAUAUUCGUUUCAGUUAUAAAACUGUAAGGUUCUGAAUAACUCAGUAGAGGUUCUUUUUACUUCUAAAUUAGAUUUUGAAAUAUUGAAAUCAUUUGGAUUAUGAUAUUUCUAGACCAUUUUUAGGUCUGAGAAGGCAGGGGCAUUGUUUCUGCACAGUAUCCACAAUGGUUGCCAUAUAAUUGGUUCUAAAACUUCAGUUGAUGAAAUGAAAUCCCUAUUUGUCCCUGUGUUUCAAACAACACAAAAUUUCAAAAUCUGUAGGUAUUGUGUUCUGUGGUUUGGUUCUUACAGUAUGUGGUGAAUUAAGUCUUCCUUCCUUCUGGUUAGCAGUUACUAGUGUUGACACCCAGGGAUCAUUCCUUGAUCCUCAUUGUAUGAGAUGCUGACCAGUGACUACUCUGAAACAGCCCCUUGGUGCAAGUCCUCAUGGAUGUUCCAGUUUACUCAGUAUCCGCUCUUGGUGUUCCUGUUAGUGCUGAUUGUUCAAAUCUAGAAGUUGAAAUGACCUCAUGUUAAGUCCAGGUGUUUGUUCUCACUGGUCUUCCCAUCCUAGACAGCCUUAUCUCUGUACUGUGUUUCAGGAAGGUCUUGGCUUUUACUCCCAUCAUUAGCUAGACCUGUUAAUAUUGCCCACAGUUUUCUCGUUUUGGCUAUUUUAGAGCUUGGUUCCUUGAUUCCAUAAUUCUUUUCUCUUACACACAACACAACAAGAAAAAUCUGUUCUUUUGUUUUCUCAUGCUCCCCAUCCACAGAUGUUCUCUGAUAACAGUCACCAGGCAUCUCAAAGGCUGGCUGGUCCCUACACCCUUCUCAAAGCCACAUGAAUAUGUGAUUCUUUUGCUUUUCACUUUUAUGUCUCAAUUCUGUCACGUUUUCCACACCUCUGCUCCUGUGACCACCAUAAAACUUUAGCAUUUCCCACAAAAAUCCUCGGCUAGCAAUUUCUAAUGUACUACUAAUAAGAAGUUAAAAUAUAGAAACUUUCUGGGGAGAUUCCAAAAUUCGAGUGGUUUAUGCCAAACAUCUUAAGAUGCUUUUCCUCUGUUUAAUGAAAGUCAUAUCUCUGGGGGUAAACUAGAUGGAGAGUUUGCUGCAAACAAUGCCUUUGUUUCACCUUUAUACAAUUUUGUUUGUGAGUUAUGUAGGCCUCAAUAAUUAUGAAUGGAAAAACUGAAACUGUGACUUGCAGUUCAAUAUUGCAAAUAUUAUAAAGCUUUCUACUGAAGUGCUGUAGUGAGAGAACAGGCAUGGAGUCCAGGAAAUCCUUCAAUGAAUUGGUAUAUGUGUAGUUUUCAGAGUGCUGCUUUCAAAGACAUUUAAACUUUGUAAACAUUUUCUUACAUAUGACUUUAAAUUUAAAAUUGCUGCUUCAACAGACACUAUGUGAUUGGUAACCCCUCCUACACUAAUGAAUCACCUUGCUUGAUUUCCCCACCUGAUUACUGUGGAAGAUGACAUGUGAGUGUCAAAUGGGGAAAGAAAGGUUUUUUAAGAUUUAUUUAACUAUUUGAAAGACAGAGAUAUAGAGAGGCAGGGGCAGAGAGAGAGUCUGCUGGGUCACUCCCCGUAGGGCCACAAUUGCCAGAGCUGAGCUGAUAUGUAGCCAGGAGCCUGGAGCUUCUUCUGGGUCUCUCACGUGGGUGCAGGGGCCCAAGCACUUGGGCCAUCUUCCACUUUCCUAGGCCAUAUCAGAGAGCUGGAUCGGAAGUGGAGCAGUGGGGACUCAAACCAGUGCUCUUAUGAGAUGCCGGCACUGCAGGCAGAAGCUUUUCCUGCUAUGCCGCAGUGCCGUCCCCAAGAAAUAUUCUUGUGGUAGACUAAUGUUCAUGGUGUAUAGCCCUCUGCUCUGUGCAGGUAGAAUUUGAGUAAUUCUUGGCAGACCCCUAAAUUUUGGAGGUACAUAGGGAUACCAUGAUCAGUGUAAUGGGAUCCACAGUUUUCCAGAGAAAUACUUCAUGAUAUCUGCUGGGGUCCUGCCAUUUAUGAAAAUGGGUUCUAAAGCAACCUGAUCGGUGAAGACAUUGCCACCUAUUGAUCCAGUGAAGCAAGUCCAGUGUGAGCACCCCUGACCCUGGCAGAGGCUCCACCCCUGGUGACUAAGAUGCUGUAGGCCUGUGCUGCUACUCAUUCCAUGGGGAAGGCCCUGCCAUACUGCUGUGAGCAUCCUGGGUUAAUAUUUUGGUAUUGCCAUGUUUUGGUUUGUUCUUCAACUUAAAUACAUGGUAUCUCCAUUUGGUUUGUAUAUUUCCUCUUGCAGUUUUCACAGCUAAAUUUCUUUUUUUAAUAAUUUUUAUUUAUAUAAAGGUGAACAUAGAGCAUGUACUUGGCACCUUUCCCUCCUCUCCCUAGCAUCCUGCCCUCCUUCCUCCUUCCUUUCUUGUGAUUACAAAAUAAACUACAAGAAUUUCAUUGUGAAAAUUAUAGGAAAGUGUAAAUUCUAAACCUUGACAGAACUAACUCCAUAAUGUGUAGCUCCUAGUAGGAACUGAAAAUUGAUUGUGUUGUUUAAAAAUUGUCAUGCAUUUCAAUAUGGAAACCCUAGGAAUUUAGAUUGAGUUUAGGUGAGAAACUACCAUGGUGCCUCCCCAAACGUGUGUUCUCUAUACAUAAUGUGCCCACAACCAAGUGUUGCUUUGAACCAAGGGCCAUAGUGGUCACCAGUGAUGGGAAAUGGAAGGCUUUUUAGGGCAGUGAGCCUGAGGACUGUGACCAAGACCUGUCCCAUUUAGUCAGUGAGAACUCAGACUGUGCACUUGCCCCAUCUUCCUAUCAGACUUCAUUUACAGGAUACAAAUUCAAGUUAAAUCCAGUAGGAAUUUGGAUAGCAGGGAGUGUACUCUUUAGAGUUUGGUACAGUUGCAGUGUCACUGGUCACAUGCUGAUGAAGCAGGGCCUGCAUUUUCAGUUCCAUAGCUUAAUUGGGGAAUUCUCAACCUGCCUGUAAUAUGUAACUGUGUUACAUGCACAUAGGAAUGUACACACCUGGGUGGUAGAAUAACAUAUAGUAAUUUAUAGUUCUCAUUUCACUUUUCACUUUCCUAUUUCCUUCAGAUACACUUCCUUUCCUUUUCUAUUUCUGAGUUUUCAGUUUGAGGGAGGUGAGAUGGCAGUGUAAUAUGUUACUUGGAUAUUGUCUUAAAUAUUCUCUUGAUAGAAAUCCUGAAUCUUUAUUUUCAAAAUAGAAACUGCCUGAAAUUUAGUUUAGUCCUGUUGAAAUCUUUACUUAAUGUAUACUAAGCUGAUCUUCUGUAUAUUAAGAUAAUCGAAAAUGAAUCUUGAUGUGAAUGGAAGGGGAGAGGGAGUGGGAAAGGGGAGGGUUGCGGGUGGGAGGGACGUUAUGGGGGGGAAGCCAUUGUAAUCCAUAAGUCGUACUUUUGAAAUUAUAUUCAUCAAAUAAAAAAAUUAGUUUAGUCAAGUUCAUGAAUAAUUUCUUAAGAUUUAUUUAAUUGAAAGUCCGAGUUACACAGAGAGUGAAAGAGAGGCGGAGAGAGAGGUCUUCUAUCUGCUGGAUCACACCCCAGAUGGUGGCAAUGUCCAGAACUGCGCUGAUCUGAAGCCAGGAACCAGGAGCUUCUUUCAGGUCUGCCACGUGGGUGCAAGGGCCCAAGGACUUGGACCAUCCUUUACUGCUUUCUGAAGCUGUAGCAGAGAGCUGGAUCAGAAAUGGAGCAACUGGGACUGGAACUGGUCCCCAUAUGGGAUGCUGGCAUUGCAUUUGUUGGCCUCACCUGCUAUGCCAAAAUGCCAGCCCAUAUCAUGAAUUAUCUACUUUUUUUUUUCUUUUUUUUAACUUUUAUUUAAUGAAUAUAAAUUUCCAAAGUAUAGCUUUUGGAUUACAAUGGCUUCCCCCCAUAAUGUCCCUCCCACCCUCUACCCUCCCCUUUCCCACUCCCUCUCCCCUUCCAUUCACAUCAAGAUUUAUUUUUGAUUCUCUUUAUAUACAGAAGAUCAGUUUAGCAUACAUUAAGUAAAGAUUUCAACAGUUUGCUCCCACACAGAAACAUAAAGUGAAAAAUAUUGUUUGAGUACUAGUUAUAGCAUUAAAUCUCAAUGUACAGCACACUAAUGACAGAGAUCCUACAUGAGGAGUAAGUGCACAGUGACUCCUGUUGUUGACUUAACAAAUUGACACGCUUGUUUAUGGCCUCAGUAAUCACCCUAGGCUCUUGUCAUGAGCUGCCAAGGCUAUGGAAGCCCCCUGAGUUCACCGACUGUGAUCAUAUUUAGACAAGGCCAUGGUCAAAGUGGAAGUUCUCUCCUCCCUUCAGAGAAAGGUACCUCCUUCUUUGAUGACACGUUCUUUCCACUGGGAUCUCACUCGCGGAGAUCUUUCAUUUAGGUUUUUUUUUUUUUUUUUUCCCCCAGAGUGUCUUGGCUUUCCAUGCCUGAAAUACUCUCAUGGGCUUUUCACCUGGAUCCACAUGCCUUAAGGGCUGAUUCUGAGGCCAGAGUGCUGUUUAGGACAUCUGCCAUUCUAUGAGUCUGCUGUGUAUCUCACUUCCCAUGUUGGAUCAUUCUCUCCCUUUUUGAUUCUAUCAGCUAGUAUUUGCAGACACUAUUCUUGUUUAUGUGAUCCCUUUGGUUCUUAUUCCUAUCAUUAUGAUCAAUUGUGAACAGAAAUUGAUCACUGGGACUAGUGAGAUGGCCUUGGUACAUGCCACCUCGAUGGGAUUGAAUUGGAAUCCCCUGGUAUGUUUCUAACUCUACCAUUUGAGGUAAGUCAGCUUGAGCAUGUCCUGAAUUGCACAUCUCUUCCCUCUCUUAUUCCCACUCUUAUAUUUAACAGUGAUCACUUUUCAGUUAAGUUUUAGCACUUAAGAAUAAUUGUGUAUUGAUUACAGUAUUCAACCAAAAGUAUUAAGUAGAACAAACAAAAAAAAUACUAAGAGGGAUAACAUAUUAAGUUGCUCAUCAACAGUCAGCGUGAGGGCUGAUCAAGUCAUCGUUUCUCAUAGUGUUCAUUUCACUUUAACAGGUUUCCUUUUUGGUGUUCAGUUAGUUGUCACCUAUCAAGGAGAACAAGUGGUAUUUGCCCCUUUGGGAUUGGCUUAUUUCACUCAACAUAAUGUUUUCCAAAUUCCUAACAGGGAUCACUUUUCAGUUAAAAUUUAAACACCUAAGAAUAAUUGUGUGUUAAUUACAGAGUUCAACCAAUGGUACUAGAACAAAAAAAAUACUAAAACCGAUAAAGUAUUACAUUGUACAUCAACUGUCAGUACAAGAGCUGAUCAAGUCACUGUUUCUCAUAGUGUCCAUUUCACUUCAACAAGUUUCCCCUUUUGUGCUCAGUUAGUUGUCGCCGAUCAGUGAGAACAUAUGAUACUUGUCCCUUUGGGACUGGUUUAAUUCACUCAGCAUGAUGUUUUCCAAAUUCCUCCAUCUUGUUGCAAAUGAUUGGGUUUCGUUGUUUUUGACUGCUGUAUAGUAUAGUCUACGGCCAUACCAUCCUGAACGCACCCGAUCUCGUCUGAUCAUGAAUGUUUUAAAAAUCAUUUCUAGCCCAUGAAGCCUACCAAAACCCCACAAUAUUAACCUAAGUUUUUAAAUUUUUAUUUGCAUUUUAAGUAUAGGAAUCUAUUUUUGCAUGCGUUAUUUUCUAGCCUUAUAACAGUAUAAGUGAGAAACAAAAAUUGUAUAUAUUCAAGGCACACAAUAUGUGUUUCUAUAUGAGUCUGAUCUAUAUAUUGCGUUUUCACACAAACCUUUCGACUCUCCUGGUUCUUACAAUACAGUAUGAAAGGAUUAGUACAGUGAAGCUACUUAACAAAUUUAUCACUCUUACUGUAUUUCUUAAACUUAUCUCAUUUUAUUUAUGUAUUUUCCCAGAAAGCUUUUUUUAAGGUACACGUAUUUUAUGCAUUCAAUAAAUACAUCUUUAGCAGCAUAGUAAUUCUUCCUACCAUAUCUGCCCUCUCACUUACACUCCUAUCAUUUUCAUAGUGUUUUUUUUAAGAAUACUGACCUAGGAAAUUACAAGUACAGAAUAUAGUGUGAACUGGUUACCUGGGGUAUGUAUUAGAUUUUUAAAACUUAGCUCAUAAUUGUAAAUUUGAUUUUUGUAAGAUUUAUUUGAAAGGCAGGGGCCAGCGCUGUGGCUCACUUUGUUAAUCCACUGCCUGCGACGCCGGCAUCCCAUAUGGGCACCAGGUUCUAGUCCUGGUUGCUCCUCUUCCAUUCCAGCUCUCUGCUGUGGCCCGGGAGGGCAGUGGAGGAUGGCCCAAGUGCUUGGGCCCUGCAAUCGCAUGGGAGACCUGGAGGAAGCACCUGCCUCCUGGCUUUGGAUCAGUGCAGCACCAGCUGUAGAGGCCAUUUUGGGGGGUGAACCAAUGGAAGGAAGACCUUUCUCUGUCUCUCUCUCUCCUGUCUAUAACUCCACCUGUCACAAAAAAAAUAUAGAAAGGCAGGAAAGAGAGAAGAGAGUAAGACAGAGACAGAGAGAGAGGAUGAGGGAUAUCUCAUCUCAUGCAUUAUUUCACUCCUCAAAUGUCCUCAGUGGCAGGGCUGUCCCCAGGUCUCCCGCUUUGGCACAGGGGCCCAAGUUGUGGGGUCAUCUUCUAGUGCUUUGCCAGGCACAUUAGCAGGGAGGUGAAUGGGAAGUGGAGCAUCUGGGACUCGGUCUUGUGCCCAUAUGGGAUGCUGGCAGUCCAGGUGGAAGCUCAGGCUUUUAAAAACACCCCAGCUCCAGCACCAUAACCAUGUAUUUGUACCUUGUGACUAACAUCUCUUCAUUUUCAUGCUUCCAGUUCAUCACAAACACCAUCCUGCUCCCUGUGUUAGUUUGACUUUUGUAUAUUCCACAUGUAAGUGUGCUCAUGUAGUAUUUCUUAUUUCUGUGUCUUGUUUCACUCAUUGUAAUGUCCUAUAGUUCCAUACUUUUGGAUCCAUCUUGUGACAAGUUAAAGUAGUAUUCCCUUUCUUUUUAAGGUUGGCGAGGAUUCCACUGUGUGUGUAUCCCAUUUUACCUUAUGGGUCCAUCAGCAAACAUUUGGGUUAUUUCCAUAUCAUGGAAUUGUGAAUGAUGCUGAAGUGAAUGUGGGGGUGCAGACAGUUCUUUGAGAUGGUGAUUUUCUUUUGAAUUCAUGGCUAUUAAAGGUUGUUCCUUUUUAAAUUUCAUUUGAGGAACUUCCAUAUUGCUUUUCAUAGUGGACGGUACAAUUUACAUUCCCUCCAAUACUGUGCUUUCUGUUUUAUCUACAUUUUGCCCAAUACUUGUUAUCUUUUAACUUUUUAAUAGUAGCCAUUUAACAGAUAUGAGGUGAUAACCAUUGUCAUCUUGAUUUGCAUUAUGCGGAUGAUAGCAAUGUUCAGAACUUUUUCACAUACCCACUGGGUACAUUGUAUGUCUUUGUUGGAAAACAUUGAUUCAGUCCUUUGUCCUUUUUUAAUUGUGUUCUUUGCUUCUUAGUGGUAUGCUUGUAUUACUCCCUUGAUCACACAUCUGGUUUGCUAAUAUUUUCUCAUAUUCAUUGGUUUGCCUUUCAUUUCAUUGAUCUUUGCUUGACUGCUUUUUGUUGUAAUUUCAUUUCCUUAUAUUUGCUUUUGCUCUCUGUGCUUUAGUUGCUAACACAUAAGCAACCACUCUUGAGGCUAAUGUCAAGGACUUUUCUAUUUUAUAAGUUGUAAGUGUUCAGAUCUUCUGUGUGGACUUGCAGUUCAUUUUGAGUUGAUUUUAAUAUGUGGUGUAACAAUGAUGCAGUUUCAGUUUUGGACAUGUGGUUAUCCAGGUUGCUUCUGCCUCAGAUGUGGGCCUUUAUGUCCAGUGACUGCAUGUUUGGUAACCCUGAUGGGCCAGGAUUUCCCGUGUCUUCAGUUGGAUCCAUUAAACCAGAUGCUGUGGCUGGAGUUGAUCAGGAGCUUGGCAUGUGUGGUGAUUUGGGAGUAGAGACCAUGCAGUGAUGGGGUCAAGACAAGGGACUGUGGCCGCCUCCUCUGGAAGCCAGGGCUAUAUGAGGGUAUGUCCGAAAGUUUUUUGAAGGGUAGACAUUUGGCAUAAUGGGAAGGACAAUGCUCAGGAUACCAGUGGCAGCCAGUGAUGGCUUAAGUAGUUGGAUUCUUGCUACCACAUUGGAGACCAUCUCCCAGCUUCAGCCUGGGUCAGAUCAGCCCUGAGUAUUUUGGGCAUUCAGGUAAUGAACUACUAGAUGGGUUGUGUCUUUAUCUCUCUCUCUCUCUCUCUUCUUCUCUCUCUCUCUCCCUUCCUCCCACCUACCUCCCCCUCCCCCUUAUUAAUUCUCUGUUUUGCUUUUGAAACCAAUUGCAAUAUUAAAAGUAGGUGGAAAAUGGAUAUGGAUGAUUAUCGCAGUAGCAGUAGAUUACUGAGUAAUUUCCUAGAACCAUACAGGGGGAUGUGUGCAGCUCACAGUGAUCCAUUAUAUUUGUUGUUAGAAAAUGAAAUAAAGGAGCUCAAGGCUCUGUCCAUACAAUAGUGUCGAACGAUUAAUGUAGACUUGGUCCGUACAAAUUUUAUAUGAGUAUUGAAAUGUCACACUAGCCCAUAAAUAUGUACCACUCUUGUUGAUAACAUUUAAGUAAAAAUACCAAUAUGUUAUUAGGUGUAUAAAGUUAAGGGGUUUUAAAUGAUUAAUGUCACAACUAAUAUUAUGGUAUUUGAAAAUGGUUAAUUAAUGCAAGCAAAAACAGAACCUGUAGGUAACUGAACUGUUCUGUCUUGUCAUGUUCAGUCUAAAGGCUACUAUGCUGUGUUUUAAGUUGGUGAUGGACAUUUAUUUGAGAUUGUUUCCUUUAAUUAAGAAAAAUGGUAGUAUGUUUUCAUGUGUAUGUGAAAUUGAAUAGCAAUUGUAUUGCAAUUGAAUGCAGUUGUAUUGCAUCAGAGCAAUACAAUGAAUACAAGAUAAGCUUUUUUUCAUAUUUGAGAUUUUAUUGGUUUUUGAGAAUCACUACAGAGACAUUUCAAUUUGUACACUAUUCUUAACAAGCCAAAAAUUUUAAAAGUGAGGGUUGAUCAUUCUUUUUAAAUCUUUUAUUUUUGAAAUAGUGUAUUUUUUAAUUUAUCUCAGAAGAGCUUUAUAGUCCACUCAAUAAAGAGUUCAGCUAGUAAGGAAGAAUAUAGGCAAGGGCAAUAACAUUAAUCAAACAAAAAAAGUCCUAUCUUUAUGAUCAGUUAUGAACUUAAACUGAUCACUUUAACUAGUAAGAUGGCAUUAAGUGUCAAAGGGAUCAUAUAAAUAAGACCAAGUGUCUGCUAAAAACAAUAGAUAGAAUGAAAAAGGAGAGAAUGAUCCAACAUGGGAAACAGGCUACCCAGCAGACUCAUAGAAUGACAGAUACCCUAAAGAGCACUCUGGCCUUGGAAUCAGCCCUUAAAGCAUUCAGAUCUGGCUAAAAAGCCCAUGAGAGCAUUUCAGGCAUGGAAAGCCAAGACACUUUGGCAAAAAAAUCACUCACAUGAAAGAUCUCUAAGAGUGAGAUCCCAGGGAAAGAAAGGGCCGCCAAAGAGGUCAGUACCUUUCUCUGAAGGGAGGAGGGAACUUCCACUUUGAUUAUGGCCUUGUCUAAAUAAUGUUGGAAUUUGUGGACUCGAGGCUUCCAUAGCCUUGGCAGCUCAUGACCAAGAGCCUAGGGUGAUCACUGAUGUCAAAUAGAAGAGUGUCAGCUGUUAAAUCAACAACAGGUGUCACUGUGCACUUGCUCCCCAUGUAGGACCUCUCUCCUUAAUGUGUUGUACUAUGAAAAUUAACAAUAAAACUAGUCUUCAAACAGUACUUUUAACUUUGUGUGUCUGUGUGGGUGCAGUCUGUUGAAAUCUUUACUUAGUAUAGAGUUGAUAGUCUGUGUAUAAAGAUAAUUAAAAAUGAAUCUCAAUGAAGAAUGGGUUGGAAGAAGGAAUAGGAGUUGGGAUGGUUUGCGGGUGGGAGGGCAGGUAUGGGGGGGAAGACCUGCUAUAAUCCAAAAGUUGUACUUAUGAAAUUUUUAUUUAUUAAAUCAAAGGUUUCUAUAAGAAUGUCUACUACAGUCAUCACACAGUAAAUUUUAAAAUGAGCAUGAAUUAUUAAAAUUAUAGUAGCAUAUCAUUCAUAACAAUUUGACAAAGAUAUAAAAGAAAGUUUGACAAAACUAUAUUUGCAGCAAUACUGAUACACACAGGCAUUAGUUUCUUUUCUGUUUUUCUUUUGUUGUUGUCUGAUUUUUUUAAAAGAAAAUUUUAGCUCCCAUAUAUAAAGGAGAACAUCUAAUAUUUGUCUUUCUUUGUCAGGGUCAUUUCACUGAGCAUGAAAUCCUCCAGUUGCUACGAUUUUGAUGCUGAUAACAGAUUUUAUUUUUUAUAGUUCUGUAAUAUUCAGUUCUACAUAUAUGCAUCGAAUUUUGCCAGCACCACUGAUUGAAUAGAUUAUACUUUUUUCCAGUGCAUAGUUUGAGCAGUUUAAUGGAAAAUCAAUUGGCUCUACCUGUAUGGAUUAAUUAAUUAAUGAAUUUCCACUAUCAUGCUUAUAUUUUAGGUUUAUUUUCAAUAAACCUAAGGUCAUUCUAUUCUUCAAAAGACUUAAACUUUUCCCAAAUAUGUAUUUCAGAAGUGUUUUUCUAAGAAUAAAAUCUCAGAUUGAUGCUAUUUUUGUAUUUAAGGAAUACAAUGUACAUGUGUGGUUAUUGAUGACAGAAUAAAUUAAUAAAUAAACUUAAAAAACAAGAACUCAUGAUUGGAAUAGCCCAUAGCCAAAAGAUAAGAGAGCUUUUAGGAAGCCAAAACAAGAAAACAAACCUAGGAAUCCAAUAAGUGAAAUGCCUGAAUCAAGAUUAAAAAAAAUCCAAAUAUCCAAUUACAUGAAUUCAAAAUCUGAGUGAAGCCAAAAAGUAACAGACUAAAAGUUUAAAAAGCCAAAAUAAAAUCUACCACACAAAAAAGAAAAAUAAAAAAGAGGAAGUAGCCUGAUCUAUAAUAGUGGUUUGUAGCAACAGACCUUGAUUUUUAGGGUAUGUACCAUCCAAAUUCGGGCCAAUGAAAAGUUGAUCUAGCAUUUCUGAUUUUCAGAAAGGAACAAUGGACGCAAACUCAUUUUCAAUAACCGUAAGACCUUCUGUUCUGUAGAAGCCUUAAAUUUAACUUUUCCCAUAUACAUAUUUCAGAAGUGUAGGUGUGGGGGCCGGCACUGUGGUGUAGUAGGUAAAGCCAGCGCCUGCAGUGAUGGCAUCCCAUGUGGGCACCAGUUCGAGUCCUGGCUGCUCCACUUCCAAUCCAGCUCUCUGCUGUGGCCUGGGAAAACAGUAUAAGAUGGCCCAAGUCCUUGGGACCCUGUACCCAUGAGAGAGACCUGGAAGAAGCUCCUGGCUCCUGGCUUCAGAUCAGCUCAGCUCUAGCCAUUGUGGCCAGGUGGGGAGUGAACUACUGAAUGGAAGACCUCCCUCUCUCUUUCUGCCUCUGCUUCUCUCCAUGUGUAACUCUAAAGUUUCAAAUAAAUACAUAAAUCUUAAAAAAAGAAGUGAGGUGUUCUCUAUAUUUUGAUGAGAAUAAAAUGUCAAAUAUAGGGUGUAUUUUUAUAUUUAAGGUAUUCAAUGUCACAUUAUCAUGGUUGAUGACAGAAUAAAUAAAGUAAUAAAGUUAAAAAACAGGAACCCAUGAUUGGAACAGCCCAUAGCCAAAGGAUAAGGGAGCUGCUAUGAAACCAAAACAAUAAAACAAAUAGGAAUCUAAAAGGUAAAAUGUCUGACCCAUAAUAAAAAAAAAAACACAUAUCCAAUUACAUGAAUUUCAU
Non-coding RNA from Oryctolagus cuniculus (rabbit), 13533 nucleotides. Lineage: Eukaryota; Metazoa; Chordata; Mammalia; Lagomorpha; Leporidae. The record is from RefSeq and is a predicted model, not a curated record.